RNAcentral lists this ribosomal RNA (302 nucleotides) under uncultured bacterium. Its description in RNAcentral is "partial 16S ribosomal RNA". It matches the Rfam family "Bacterial small subunit ribosomal RNA", at positions 508 to 807 of the family's 1533-position model. The record is from RNAcentral.
GCAGUAGCCGCGGUAAAACGGAGGGGGCUAGCGUUGUUCGGAAUUACUGGGCGUAAAGCGCACGUAGGCGGCUUGGUAAGUUAGAGGUGAAAGCCCGGAGCUCAACUCCGGAAUUGCCUUUAAGACUGCCGAGCUAGUAGGUGAGAGAGGUAAGUGGAAUUCCGAGUGUAGAGGUGAAAUUCGUAGAUAUUCGGAAGAACACCAGUGGCGAAGGCGGCUUACUGGCUCAUUCUAGACGCUGAGGUGCGAAAGCGUGGGGAGCAAACAGGAUUAGAGACCCCCGUAGUCCCUGUCUCUUAUAC